Non-coding RNA from Ictidomys tridecemlineatus (thirteen-lined ground squirrel), 6312 nucleotides. NCBI's taxonomy places the organism in Eukaryota, Metazoa, Chordata, Mammalia, Rodentia, Sciuridae. The record is from RefSeq and is a predicted model, not a curated record.
CUUUUGAGCCAUUUCCAUGUUGCAGAUAUGCCGGAGAAGGCAGCCCUUCACAUGAUGAAGGUCUUUCUGAAGCAUGAGCUUUGGCAUUGGAACAUCUUUCCUGGACAGAACUCGCUUUUGGAGUUGUGCACAUUUGGGAAGUAUUUUUACAAGGAGGUGCUGAGAGCCGUAGCCAUUACAGCAGGUGAGCCUGGGACUUCUGCCCAUGACCUUCAUGAUGAUCCGUGAAGACACGGCUCCCAUCUGACACUGCCCUUGUUUGGAUGGCUAAUCAGAAAGCAUGCACUACUUCUAAAAGCCACUGAGACAACAGCCCAGAGGGAUCCCUUCCCAUGCAACCAGAACUCGCCUCAAAAGCAGCAGACAACUGUGUCCUAAGACCGCUGAGGAGCCCUAGCACCUUCUCACUCAUGUGACUUCCCUGGGCUAGCAGCCACACACUGGACAUGGUGAACAUGGAGGGAAAAGAAACAAAUAGGGCAACUAUCGUUUUUUUUUUUUUCCUUUCAUUCCUUCCAUCCUCAGCAGUGAGAUGGGGGCAGAGUGUUGGUAGGAAGUGCCUACGUUAGGAGGGGAAAGAAGAAUGGUUGGUUUUAUGGAACAUUUCCAUUGUUCCAGCAGGGAAUGAAGUCUAUAUGUGUGCAUGAGCUCUGAAAUACAAACUGUGCCAUUUUGAUGAUUCCAAAAUAUAAGUAGUCUUACAUGUGCAUUUAAAACUGGCAUUGCAUACGAUAGAGAUCGGUGCUAGAAUUCAUGCUGAUAAUUUAGAUUAUGUAUUUAUUACUAUGCUAAUAUUUAGGACAGCAUGCCCUAGGAAAUAAAAAGCGUUACAAGUCAUCAAAAUGGCACAGAAGAAAGCCAAUUAGUACCUUUUUCACAUUUGAGUACGUUUUUCCUGCUUUUUUUGAACAAAGGGUUUCAUAUUUUCAUUUUUGCACUGGCCUUAUAAAUCAUCUAGCUGGGGGUAUUUUAAAAAGGGGAGUUGGGGAGGCAGAAGGAGAACUGUUGAGGUAUUUUUCAGCUAGGGUCUGACUUCCCUGGGGUGUGUUGUUCCCACAAGGAUCCCUUUAAGGCCCCUUGGUAACCUGCAAAUAGCUUUGUGAUUAGCUGAGAAAACGACAUGCACAUCCACCAGCAUCCGAAGCUCACAGGCCAGGGUUUGCUAGAUUUCAGGCCUGACAGAAAAUUCCACUUCAGAGGAAAGGGAGACUGAUGCUGAAAACCCACAUUAUGCAGCUGGUCAUGGCCAGCCAGAACUCAGGCCUGAGACCAGGCUGGUGCCUUGUUUUGAACUGCAAGAAUAGAGCAGUGUUGUCGUUUUUCUUCCAGGGAUCAAAAUCAGACAAAUCUCCUAUUUGGCUUUCCAGGCAAUAAGUGGAUAACGCCAGUGAAUGUCAGUGCAAAUUACAGCUCUAGCCUCCUGUCGUCAGCUCUGUGCUGCUGCUUGUCACUUUAAUGCAAAGAGACAGCACCGGGCUGAUAACAAGCCAGAAGGGUGGGGGAUGGAUGUCAGGGACAGGGAAAACCAGUGUCUGAGAGACUGAUUCAAGGCAUAAAAACCCACAGUGAUGCUUUUUCUUGAUUGCCUGUGUAAGGGCAUUGGAUGUCUGGACAGAGCCUCCUGGAUAUCCACAAAACUGAGCACAGGACUCAUCAGUCAUUUGCCCACCCACCCAUCAUCCAUCCAUCCAUCCAUCCAUCCAUCCAUCCAUCCAUCCAUCCAUCCAUCCUCAUCUGUAAAUAAGCAAUGGAUGAACAUCUUGGUACACGGGAAUCCCAAGGGAUUCAUGGGUCUUCCAUAUCCUUGCCACAGGUACUUUCUCGGCAUUGCUUGUAAGCAGAAGUUUGAAGAACUCUUGGGAGGAAACAUCUCUCUUUCUAAGCAAAGCACAAGGGCCUCGGGGGGCUUUUAAUUUUGUCAAAAAAGAGCCCCAUGACUGCUCAAAAACUCUUGAUUCUGUUCUAUGCAAUUGCAUUUUCUAAAUCAGUGGGUGAAAGUUACUGUCUCAGAGGCCCUCAACUGAGAGAUAAGAUCUCCCAGGCAGCCAGUUGAAGAAAGAGGGAUUCUCACAUUUUGUCUGCCAGAAUUUGAGUAUGUCCAUCUGUCUUGGAGGGAACCUGCAAGGUCAGCUCACAAAAAUAUGCAGCCUCUGCUUGCUUUAUCUUCCACCCACCUACACAUUUGAGGAACUGAUACAAUCAAGAUAAUGAAGGUCCGGGGAUUUAGGUUAGUUGGUCAAGUGCUUGCCUUGCAUGAACAAGGCCAUGGGUUUGAUCCCCAGCACCACACACACACACACACACACACACACACACACACACACACACAAAGACAAUGAGAAUCCCAUUGUCUUUGCUGACAAAUGGUUCUGAGAAUUGGAAAAGAGAUCAAGAGGGACACACCUGUAGAUCUUCUUAGGCUCUCUCAAUGACAUCGCAUCUCGGUAAUGGCUGAUGAGGCCCCAUAUGCCCUCCACUUAGGAACUUGGGCACAACACCAUUUUCAUGGGACAUGGGAUCUAGAUUCCAAGCAGUCACCAGGGGCUGGAUACAGCAAGGGAGGUAACCCCCCAUGAUGGGAACUUGACCUGGGAUAUAGGAGAGUGGUGGGAGGAGAUAAACUCCCCAACUUCUUUUCUCCUGUGGAUGACUCUGGAGCAUUAAUCCUCCCUGCAGCUUUUUGGCCUCACUUUAUUUUCCCACAUUUCCCUGCCCUGCACCUUCUAAACAAAUGAUUAGGACUCCAAUCUUUGCUCAGGUCCUGUUUGUUUGUUUUUUUUUUCUCAUAAUUGAGUUCGUGUUUCCUUGAACACCCUUGAAUAUGUUUAUUUGUAAGAUUUAUAAUAGAUCAAAGCAGUAAAUAAUAUUUGUGCAGCACCUACGAAGUACUCCCUAAAUACUUGCAAAUACAUACAAACUAGUUAUGAAACUUGGAAAACUUAUUCAGAAGAACAAGAAGCAGACCCCAAAGACAUCAAGGAAGCCAGGGAGAGAGUGGGAGUGAAAUAGUUGACACUGAGAAAUGGCUGGCGAGGGCAAGAAGGCAAUGAGGACAGCAGACAGUGUCAUCAGGCCUCCUGGGGACAAAUGAGGAAAAGAGGGGCUUCGAUGUUUCUUGAGAUGUUUGGUCUAGAUCCCAGGCUCCCAGCUUGAUCCCCAACUCAGGAAAGAUUUCCACUUUGGGGAUUUAGCUUAUACAGUGUUUUCUAUGUUUACAGUGGAAGUAAUUGAAGAGUGAGGGUGAAAGAAAUUUUUUUGUGCCGGUGUGUGAGUUAUUUAUUGCUGCACAAUAAAUUAUUCCAUAACUUGGUUUAAACAAUAACAAUCAAUUAUAGCAUCUGUAGGUCAGGAAUUCAGGAGCACUUUUCCUGAGUAGUCAGGCUCAGGUUUCUGAUGAGGUUAAGGUCAAGUGUCAGCUAGGGCUGCUGUCAACUGAAGGCUUGACUGAAUCCAGCUCCAGACGGUUCCCCCACAGGACUAUUGGCAGGACCUUACUAGCUGUCUUUGAGAGCCUCUGCUUAGGGCAGCUGGAGUGUUGUUCUCAGGUCAUGGCAGCUGGCAUCCCCUUGAGCAAGCAAUUCAAGAGACCAACACAGAAGCCACAGUGCCUUUGUGACUUACUUUAUCUCUCUACUCCAUUCUAGUAGUCACCCAGAAAUCCCGGAUUCAAUGCAGGAAGAGCCGACCCAAGGGUAUGGCGACCAGGAAGUCAGAAUCUUGUAGGAAGAGGAACAUUAUUGGAGACUGGACCACAACCUGCUGGGAGAAUGCUUAGAGAGAUCUGUUUAGCAUCCUUAGGUAGGAGCUGAGAAACCAAAGACCAGAGUUUAAGGUUCUCACUUAAUGAUUCAGGAUUUAACAGUGCCUGCAGGAACCACAUCUCACCAAGUCAUUUAAGAAAUGGGACCCAUGGUCAACCAGCAUCUCCAUGCAGAUGAAGAAGGAAGUCAGGCGUAAUGCUUUAAACAAGAGCCAUGGAAAGAAUCGUUGCAAGGCAGAUUAUAGGAGUUCAUUCAGUCAUUUAUUCAAAACAUGAGUUGAGUUUACUUCAUACCUGGCACUGUGCUAGACACAAAGGCAGGCAGAGGUAAGCAAAAACACACUCCUGCUCUUGGUACUGGGGAACACAGACACUAGUGGAAUGGUCCCGCUCACAAUGGAAAUACUACAACUGUGACAAGGGCUUUGAAGGGGAGGUUGAAGCACCGUGACAGCACAGAGUAUUGUUUAUUUCGGCCAUCAACGCUCCUCCAAGGAAGUGGUGAUUCAAUUAUUACCUGAAAGCCCAAAAGUGUGUUCCGGUAUCAAGGAGAUAAUGAUUUCUGUUCAUGAUGUGUUUUUUCAGAUAUUGUAUUUUCCACCUCCAGAAGUUCCAUUUGAGUUUUCUUUUAUAUCUUUUAUUUCUCUCAUAAUUGAGUUCAUGUUUCCUUGAACAUCCUUGAAUAUGUUUAUUUGUAAGAUUUAUAAUAGCUAUUUUAAUGUUCCCCCGUCUGCUAGCUUCAUCAUCUCUGCCAUUUCUGGGCCUUUUCCUAUUUUUCCCCCCUACCUAUGAGUCAUAUGUUCAUGCUGUUUUGCAUGCCUGGUAAUUUUCUAUUGAAAGCCACAUAAUGGGAAUUUUAUAGUGUCAGGUGUUGGAUUUUGUUUUAUUCCUUUAAAGAGUGUGGAGAUUUGUUCUGGCACAUAGUUACUUGGGAACAGUUUGAUUUUUCGGGGCUUGCUUUUAAACUUUGUUAUGGCAAGUCCCCAAAACUUUUAGUGUGGACUAAUUUAGCCCUAAUAUUAAGACACUGCCCUUCUGAAGAUGCUACCAAUACACAAUUGUCAGGUCUUUCCAUUUCAACUGGUGAGAAUACUAAUUAUUCCUGAUCCUGAAAGGUCUCUAGGAAUUGCUCUGUCUGCUUCUUUCCAGGUGGUUCUCUUGCCUGCCUUGAGGAAUUUCUUCAACUUAUGCACUGAUUAGAGUUCAAAGAUUUGAGAUUUUUACCUGGUAGUCCCAGGAGUUGUCUUUCUGCAUAUGGAACUCCCUCCUCUCUGAUACUCUGCCCUGAAAACCUCCCAGAACUUUGAACUUUAUCUCCUCAGCUCUGCAAGACCUUUGAGCUCCACUGGGGCACUCUGUAGGCCAUGAGUGGGUGCCAUUAUAAGGCUUGCUCACUUUCCCUUUUGUCAGGGAUCACAGCCUUGCAUUGACUGCUAAUGUUGAAAAUCACUAUUUCAUAUGCUUGUCUGGUUUUCUGUCUGUUGGAGGUGGGUAUAAAUCUAAUCCCCAAUACUGCAUCAUUGUAUAUUUUUUUAUUUCUUUUCAAAAAUAUUUAAAUAGCUUAAUUAAGGCAUGAUUAAUAAACUGCAUGCAUGUGUAAAGUGUUCAAAUGAUGAGGUUUUUGUUAAUAUUUAUUGUUUAGUUUUAGGUGAACACAAUAUUUUUAUUUUACAUUUACAUAGUGCAGAGGAUCAAACCCAGUGCCUCAUACAGGCUAGGUGAGCACAAUACCACUGAGCCACAUCCCUAGCCCCAAAUGAUGAGUUUUAACACAUGUAUACAUUCAUGAAACCAUCAAAUUCAAGAAAGUGAACAUAUCCAUCACCCCUGAAAAUAUCUUUAGGCCCCUUUGAAAUUUCUCCCCCUGGCUUUCUGGACCCUCCUCUCAAGGCAACCACCAAUUUGCUUUUAGUCACAAGAAAUUAAAUUUCUAAAGUUUUACAUAAAUAAAAUCAUAUAAUAUGGUUCCUUUUUUAAUCUGGAUUUUUUACGUAGCAUAAUUGUUUUAAUAUAUUCGUGUUGUUUGUAUCAGUCGUUUCUCCUUUUCUUACUGAUGAGUAGCAUUCCAUUGUAUAUAAACCCACCCCAAUUUGUCCAUUUUGUUUACAUUUUACCAUAUUUAUUUAUUUAUUACUAACAGAUAUAUGGAUUGUUUCUACCUUUGGGUUAUUACAAAUAAAGUGAUUCUGAGCAUUCAUGUAAAAGCUUUUGUAUGGACAUAUAUUUUCUUUUUUCUUGGGUAAAUACCUAGGAAUGGAAUGACUGGACCAUAUGGUAGGUAUGUAAGUGUAACUUUUAAGGAUCCUGUCAAACUUUUCAAUGGCUUUGGUUUUAAAGCCAGUUUUUAUUUGUUUGUUUGGGGCUCCAUGUUACAGUAGGGUAAAUCUGUGAGACAUUUGGAUGUAAAUGUUCAACUUCUUUUAUUCUGAAGCAGUAAGCAUGCUGUGGCAACUGUCACUUUGACAGGCACAGUGCUAGCCCCCACCAGCAUGGAAAGUGGACUUUGACCAUAAGAUGGACAGUAGAGAGAGAAAAGUCAGGACCUUGGACUU